AUUGAACGCUGGCGGCAGGCUUAACACAUGCAAGUCGAGCGGGGUGAUAGUGCUUGCACUAUCACUUAGCGGCGGACGGGUGAGUAAUGCUUAGGAAUCUGCCUAUUAGUGGGGGACAACAUUACGAAAGGAAUGCUAAUACCGCAUACGUCCUACGGGAGAAAGCAGGGGAUCUUCGGACCUUGCGCUAAUAGAUGAGCGUAAGUCGGAUUAGCUAGUUGUUGGGGUAAAGGCCUACCAAGGCGACGAUCUGUAGCGGGUCUGAGAGGAUGAUCCGCCACACUGGGACUGAGACACGGCCCAGACUCCUACGGGAGGCAGCAGUGGGGAAUAUUGGACAAUGGGCGCAAGCCUGAUCCAGCCAUGCCGCGUGUGUGAAGAAGGCCUUAUGGUUGUAAAGCACUUUAAGCGAGGAGGAGGCUACUUUAGUUAAUACCUAGAGAUAGUGGACGUUACUCGCAGAAUAAGCACCGGCUAACUCUGUGCCAGCCGCCGCCGUAA
This 501-nucleotide ribosomal RNA is filed under the name uncultured bacterium. Its description in RNAcentral is "partial 16S ribosomal RNA". It matches the Rfam family "Bacterial small subunit ribosomal RNA", at positions 30 to 523 of the family's 1533-position model. The record is from RNAcentral.